This 891-nucleotide ribosomal RNA is filed under the name Lactobacillus crispatus CTV-05. Its description in RNAcentral is "partial 16S ribosomal RNA". It matches the Rfam family "Bacterial small subunit ribosomal RNA", at positions 8 to 849 of the family's 1533-position model. Lineage: Bacteria; Bacillati; Bacillota; Bacilli; Lactobacillales; Lactobacillaceae. The record is from RNAcentral.
AGAGUUUGAUCCUGGCUCAGGACGAACGCUGGCGGCGUGCCUAAUACAUGCAAGUCGAGCGAGCGGAACUAACAGAUUUACUUCGGUAAUGACGUUAGGAAAGCGAGCGGCGGAUGGGUGAGUAACACGUGGGGAACCUGCCCCAUAGUCUGGGAUACCACUUGGAAACAGGCGCUAAUACCGGAUAAGAAAGCAGAUCGCAUGAUCAGCUUUUAAAAGGCGGCGUAAGCUGUCGCUAUGGGAUGGCCCCGCGGUGCAUUAGCUAGUUGGUAAGGUAAAGGCUUACCAAGGCGAUGAUGCAUAGCCGAGUUGAGAGACUGAUCGGCCACAUUGGGACUGAGACACGGCCCAAACUCCUACGGGAGGCAGCAGUAGGGAAUCUUCCACAAUGGACGCAAGUCUGAUGGAGCAACGCCGCGUGAGUGAAGAAGGUUUUCGGAUCGUAAAGCUCUGUUGUUGGUGAAGAAGGAUAGAGGUAGUAACUGGCCUUAUUUGACGGUAAUCAACCAGAAAAGUCACGGCUAACUACGUGCCACCGGCCGCGGGAAAUACGUGGGGGGGCAAGGGGUUGGCCCGAAUUUAUUGGGCGUAAGGGGGGCGCAGGGGGGAAAGAAUAAGUCUUGAUGUGAAAAGCCCCUCGGUUUAACCCGAGGAACUGGCAAUCGGAAAACUGGUUUUUCUUGAGUGCAGAAGAGGAGAGUGGAACUCCAUUGUAGCGGUGAAUGCGUAGAUAUAUGGAAGAAACCAGUGGCGAAGCGGCUCUCUGGUCUGCAACUGACGCUGAGGCUCGAAAGCAUGGGUAGCGAACAGGAUUAGAUACCCCUGGGUAGUCCAUGCCGUAAACGAUGAGUGCUAAAGUGUUGGGGAGGUUUCCCGCCCUCUCAGUGCUGC